AUCCGGAUUUAUUGGGUUUAAAGGGAGCGUAGGCCGGAGAUUAAGCGUGUUGUGAAAUGUAGAUGCUCAACAUCUGAACUGCAGCGCGAACUGGUUUCCUUGAGUACGCACAAAGUGGGCGGAAUUCGUGGUGUAGCGGUGAAAUGCUUAGAUAUCACGAAGAACUCCGAUUGCGAAGGCAGCUCACUGGAGCGCAACUGACGCUGAAGCUCGAAAGUGCGGGUAUAGAACAGGAUUAGAUACCCUGGUAGUCCGCACGGUAAACGAUGGAUGCCCGCCGUUGGUCUGAAUAGGUCAGCGGCCAAGCGAAAGCAUUAAGCAUCCCACCUGGGGAGUACGCCGGCAACGGUGAAACUCAAAGGAAUUGACGGGGGCCCGCACAAGCGGAGGAACAUGUGGUGUAAUUCGAUGAUACGCGAGGAACCUUACCCGGGCUUGAAUUGCAGAGGAAGGAUUUGGAGACAAUGACGCCCUUCGGGGCCUCUGUGAAGGUGCUGCAUGGUUGUCGUCAGCUCGUGCCGUGAGGUGUCGGCUUAAGUGCCAUAACGAGCGCAACCCCUCUCCUUAGUUGCCAUCAGGUGAAGCUGGGCACUCUGGGGACACUGCCACCGUAAGGUGUGAGGAAGGUGGGGAUGACGUCAAAUCAGCACGGCCCUUACGUCCGGGGCUACACACGUGUUACAAUGGCAGGUACAGAGAGACGGUCCCUUGCAAAAUGGAUCAAAUCCUUAAAGCCUGUCUCAGUUCGGACUGGGGUGUGCAACCCGACCCCACGAAGCUGGAUUCGCUAGUAAUCGCGCAUCAGCCAUGGCGCGGUGAAUAAAAGGCCGGGCCUUGCACA
This 841-nucleotide ribosomal RNA is filed under the name uncultured bacterium. RNAcentral's name for it is "bacterial SSU rRNA". It matches the Rfam family "Bacterial small subunit ribosomal RNA", at positions 543 to 1387 of the family's 1533-position model. The record is from RNAcentral.